UGACUUCGGUUGGUGUGGAGACUGGCGCACGGGUGAGUAACGCGUAGACAACCUGCCCAUAACAGGGGGAUAACCCCGCGAAAGCGGAGCUAACCCCCCAUAAUGCAGCGGCCCCGCAUGGGGACAGUUGUUAAAUUCACUUCGGUGGAGGUUAUGGAUGGGUCUGCGUGCCAUUAGCUAGUUGGUGGGGUAAGAGCCUACCAAGGCGAUGAUGGCUAGGGGGUCUGAGAGGAUGAUCCCCCACACUGGGACUGAGACACGGCCCAGACUCCUACGGGAGGCAGCAGUGAGGAAUCUUGCGCAAUGGAGGAAACUCUGACGCAGCCACGCCGCGUGCCGGAAGACGGCCCUAUGGGUUGUAAACGGCUUUUGAUCGGGAAGAACAGCCGGGGUUUGCCCUGGUGUGACGGUACCGAUCGAAUAAGCACCGGCUAACUCCGUGCCAGCAGCCGCGGUAAUACGGAGGGUGCAAGCGUUGUCCGGAAUCAUUGGGUGUAAAGGGUGCGCAGGCGGGCAUCUAAGUCUGAGGUGAAAUCUUGCCGCUUAACGGUAAAAUGGCCUUAGAUACUGGGUGUCUUGAAUCUAGAAGAGGUCGGUGGAAUUCGUGGUGUAGCGGUGAAAUGCAUAGAUAUCACGAAGAA
This 641-nucleotide ribosomal RNA is filed under the name uncultured Bacteroidota bacterium. RNAcentral describes it as "bacterial SSU rRNA". It matches the Rfam family "Bacterial small subunit ribosomal RNA", at positions 75 to 706 of the family's 1533-position model. The record is from RNAcentral. Lineage: Bacteria; Pseudomonadati; Bacteroidota.